GCAAGUCGAGGGGUAACAUUAAGAAGCUUGCUUUUUAGAUGACGACCGGCGCACGGGUGAGUAACGCGUAUACAAUCUGCCUCAUACUGGAGGAUAGCCCUAAGAAAUUGGGAUUAAUACUCCAUAGUAUUAUUAGAACACAUGUUCUUGAUAAUUAAAACUCCGGUGGUAUGAGAUGAGUAUGCGUCCCAUUAGUUAGUUGGUAAGGUAACGGCUUACCAAGGCAGCGAUGGGUAGGGGGCCUGAGAGGGUGAUC
This 256-nucleotide ribosomal RNA is filed under the name uncultured bacterium. RNAcentral describes it as "partial 16S ribosomal RNA". It matches the Rfam family "Bacterial small subunit ribosomal RNA", at positions 57 to 305 of the family's 1533-position model. The record is from RNAcentral.